RNAcentral lists this long non-coding RNA (246 nucleotides) under Lathyrus oleraceus (garden pea). RNAcentral's name for it is "Pisum sativum (pea) long non-coding RNA (PSAT_LNC034973)". The record is from RNAcentral. Lineage: Eukaryota; Viridiplantae; Streptophyta; Magnoliopsida; Fabales; Fabaceae.
CCCAUUCACCAUCGGAGAUAGGACAAAUCAUCCCGGCCUCCAAUAGUUCAACAACUUCCUUCUUUUUCAGCACUCGUAUCAAUUGAUUCUCCUCUUUUGUGGACAAGGUAUUGCUAAUGAUCACCGGUUUAGUGCAGUCAUCACCAAGGAACACAUACUUCAAAUGUGGCUCUAGUUUUGGCUCUUCCACUUUCUUUGUCAUAUCCAAGCCUUCGUUUGUCUAUUCAUGAUAAACAAGCUCUCCAC